GAUGAACGCUGGCGGCGUGCCUAAUACAUGCAAGUCGAGCGAACAGAUGAGGAGCUUGCUCCUCUGACGUUAGCGGCGGACGGGUGAGUAACACGUGGAUAACCUACCUAUAAGACUGGGAUAACUUCGGGAAACCGGAGCUAAUACCGGAUAAUAUAUUGAACCGCAUGGUUCAAUAGUGAAAGACGGUUUUGCUGUCACUUAUAGAUGUAUCCGCGCCGCAUUAGCUAGUUGGUAAGGUAACGGCUUACCAAGGCAACGAUGCGUAGCCGACCUGAGAGGGUGAUCGGCCACACUGGAACUGAGACACGGUCCAGACUCCUACGGGAGGCAGCAGUAGGGAAUCUUCCGCAAUGGGCGAAAGCCUGACGGAGCAACGCCGCGUGAGUGAUGAAGGUCUUCGGAUCGUAAAACUCUGUUAUUAGGGAAGAACAAAUGUGUAAGUAACUAUGCACGUCUUGACGGUACCUAAUCAGAAAGCCACGGCUAACUACAUG
Molecule: ribosomal RNA, 497 nt
Filed under: uncultured bacterium
Lineage: Bacteria
Description: partial 16S ribosomal RNA
Rfam family: Bacterial small subunit ribosomal RNA
Source: RNAcentral